GUAGUGACUGUUAUGAUGGUGAUGGUUGUUUUGAUGUGACGUUGCUUGAUAUUAGUAGUUUAAGGUGUUGAUUGUUUUGGUUGAAACAUGAAUGCAUGAUGAUUGACGAUGUGUUGGUGAUAGUUGGAGAUGUUAUUUGUUGUGAUGGUGGAGAUGGUUGCUAGUAAAGAUAAAUUGUUGUGAUGGUACUGGUUGAAGUGGUGGUAGAUGUGGCGUUACUAGUGACAAUGGUGGUGGCGGCCAAAGAAUGUGUAGAAGUUGUGAUGUAUUAGUGGUAGUUAGUGGUGGUGCUAGUUGUGAUAAAUGAGUUGGUUGGUAGUAGGGAUUGGCAGGUAGUGGUUUCUGAUUGAGGUGUUG
RNAcentral lists this long non-coding RNA (357 nucleotides) under Capsicum annuum. RNAcentral describes it as "long non-coding RNA (CANN_LNC003140)". Lineage: Eukaryota; Viridiplantae; Streptophyta; Magnoliopsida; Solanales; Solanaceae. The record is from RNAcentral.